AGCUUUGCGCAGUGGCAGUAUCGUAGCCAAUGAGGUUUAUCCGAGGCGCGAUUAUUGCUAAUUGUUUCCUUUUUCAAACCAAAAGGUUGCUGGGACAUGACACGUCAU
This 108-nucleotide small nuclear RNA is filed under the name Neogale vison (American mink). RNAcentral describes it as "Neovison vison (American mink) U4 spliceosomal RNA (ENSNVIG00000021683.1)". It matches the Rfam family "U4 spliceosomal RNA". From Rfam's summary of the family: U4 small nuclear RNA (U4 snRNA) is a component of the major U2-dependent spliceosome. The record is from Rfam by way of RNAcentral. Lineage: Eukaryota; Metazoa; Chordata; Mammalia; Carnivora; Mustelidae.